RNAcentral lists this transfer RNA (69 nucleotides) under Ictidomys tridecemlineatus (thirteen-lined ground squirrel). RNAcentral's name for it is "Spermophilus tridecemlineatus (thirteen-lined ground squirrel) tRNA". It matches the Rfam family "tRNA". Rfam says of the family: Transfer RNA (tRNA) molecules are approximately 80 nucleotides in length. Their secondary structure includes four short double-helical elements and three loops (D, anti-codon, and T loops). Lineage: Eukaryota; Metazoa; Chordata; Mammalia; Rodentia; Sciuridae. The record is from Rfam by way of RNAcentral.
GGGGUUAUAGCUCAGUGGUAGAGCACUUGCCUUGCAAGCAUGAGGCACUGGGUUUGAUACUCAGCCCCA